This 253-nucleotide ribosomal RNA is filed under the name uncultured bacterium. RNAcentral's name for it is "partial 16S ribosomal RNA". It matches the Rfam family "Bacterial small subunit ribosomal RNA", at positions 524 to 776 of the family's 1533-position model. The record is from RNAcentral.
UACGAAGGGGGCUAGCGUUGCUCGGAAUUAUUGGGCGUAAAGCGCGCGCAGGCGGUCCUUUAAGUCUGAUGUGAAAGCCCACGGCUCAACCGUGGAGGGUCAUUGGAAACUGGGGGACUUGAGUACAGAAGAGAAGAGUGGAAUUCCACGUGUAGCGGUGAAAUGCGUAGAGAUGUGGAGGAACACCAGUGGCGAAGGCGACUCUUUGGUCUGUAACUGACGCUGAGGCGCGAAAGCGUGGGGAGCAAACAGG